UGUGGCCAUACCACCCUGAAUGCGCCUGAUCUUGGAAGCUAAGCAGGGUUGGGCCUGCUUAGUACUUGGAUGGGAGACCACUUGGUUGUGUCUAGUUGGCCAUCU
RNAcentral lists this ribosomal RNA (105 nucleotides) under Cebus imitator (Panamanian white-faced capuchin). Lineage: Eukaryota; Metazoa; Chordata; Mammalia; Primates; Cebidae. The record is from RNAcentral.